Molecule: RNase P RNA, 431 nt
Filed under: Ignavibacteria bacterium
Lineage: Bacteria; Pseudomonadati; Ignavibacteriota; Ignavibacteria
Description: RNase P RNA component class A
Rfam family: Bacterial RNase P class A
About the family: Ribonuclease P (RNase P) is a ubiquitous endoribonuclease, found in archaea, bacteria and eukarya as well as chloroplasts and mitochondria. Its best characterised activity is the generation of mature 5'-ends of tRNAs by cleaving the 5'-leader elements of precursor-tRNAs. Cellular RNase Ps are ribonucleoproteins.
Source: RNAcentral
GAAGUAAGAAAGGUAGUCGCUCUUCACAAUUUGUGAAGGGAGGAAAGUCCGAACUCCGUAGAGCAGGAUACCAGGUAACGCCUGGGGACUGAUGACGAAAGUCAUUGGUCACGGAAAGUCCCGCUUUUGCGGGAUCCCGAAUUUUUCGGGAUGCAACAGAAAAUACACCGCCUCGACUCAGUCGGGGUAAGGGUGAAAUGGCGGGGUAAGAGCCCACCAGCAUCCGGGUAACCGGAUGGCUUGGCAAACCCUAUCCGGAGCAAGGUCAAAUAAAGGAGGAAGCGAGAUCCUGUUUUUUGUUCACUCGCUACGAAGUUGCUCGCUUCGUUCUCACUCCUGGGUAGACCGCUUGAGUUCGAUGGCGACAUCGAACCGAGAUAGAUGACUACCUCUCCUGCGGGAGAACAGAAUUCGGCUUACUUACUUCUCAU